UACCCGCAGCACAAGUGGUGGUCAUUAUUAUUGGGCGUAAAGAGCUCGUAGGCGGUCUGUCGCGUCGGCUGUGAAAACCCGGAGCUCAACUCCGGGCCUGCAGUCGAUACGGGCAAACUGGAGUGUUGCAGGGGAGACUGGAAUUCCUGGUGUAGCGGUGAAAUGCGCAGAUAUCAGGAGGAACACCGGUGGCGAAGGCGGGUCUCUGGGCAACAACUGACGCUGAGGAGCGAAAGCGUGGGGAGCAAACAGG
Molecule: ribosomal RNA, 253 nt
Filed under: uncultured bacterium
Lineage: Bacteria
Description: partial 16S ribosomal RNA
Rfam family: Bacterial small subunit ribosomal RNA
Source: RNAcentral